UUUCAAGUUAGUAAGGGCAUGCGGUGGAUGCCUUGGUACGGGAAGGCGAUGAAGGACGUGGCAAGCUGCGAUAAGCCUCGGGGAGGUGCAAACGACCGUUGAUCCGGGGAUUUCCGAAUGGGGCAACCCAGCGUCGUGAGAGCGACGUUAUCUUGCGCUGAAUCCAUAGGCGUAAGAAGCGAGACCCAGGGAACUGAAACAUCUUAGUACCUGGAGGAAGAGAAAGUAAAAACGAUUCCCUCAGUAGCGGCGAGCGAACGGGGAAGAGCCUAAACCGGGGGGACAUGUCCCCUCGGGGUUGUGGGACCUCAACAUGGGACUGGCGAAUCUAGCCGAAUCUGCCAGAAAACAGAGCCAGAGAAGGUGAAAGCCCUGUAAGCGAAAGGUUCAAGAGCCCUAGAGGAAUCCCGAGUACGGCGGGACACGAGGAAUCCCGCCGGAAUCCGCGAGGACCAUCUCGUAAGGCUAAAUACUCUCCCGUAACCGAUAGUGAACCAGUACCGCGAGGGAAAGGUGAAAAGACCCCCGGAAGGGGAGUGAAAUAGUCCCUGAAACCGCAUGCUUACAAGCUGUGGGAGGGCAAUUCUUCGGGAUGCCUGACCGCGUGCCUUUUGUUUAAUGAGCCAGCGAGUUGUCCUCUGUGGCGUUAGGUUAAG
Molecule: ribosomal RNA, 656 nt
Filed under: Candidatus Omnitrophota bacterium
Lineage: Bacteria; Pseudomonadati; Candidatus Omnitrophota
Description: partial 23S ribosomal RNA
Rfam family: Bacterial large subunit ribosomal RNA
Source: RNAcentral